RNAcentral lists this long non-coding RNA (756 nucleotides) under Elaeis guineensis (African oil palm). Its description in RNAcentral is "long non-coding RNA (EGUI_LNC077648)". Lineage: Eukaryota; Viridiplantae; Streptophyta; Magnoliopsida; Arecales; Arecaceae. The record is from RNAcentral.
GUCGAACUAAUUUUCUAGUAAGUAUGGAUCAACCCUAAUCAUUAAGCGAUCUGAUCAAAACUUGAUUCACCAUGUUAGCCAGGUAAGUGAGAUCAGUGGGAGGGAUAUACCAUUAACUCAUCAUAGACUUAAUGUAUGUGAGUAGCACCUAAUUAAUGACCACCGAUCAAGACUACCAAACUUAUCUUAGACACCAACUAGUUAAUCGAUUUCACUUGGAUCUACUUAUGGAUUUGGGUUCGCCCGUUGAGCUCAAGAUCAAAAUCUAUUUGGGUCUAAUCAAAGACAUGGACUCGACCAACUACAACUAUUGUAUUGGCUCUAGAAAAAUUUUGAUUUGAUCUAAUUUCUUUUCUUAGUCCAUUUGAUCUUUGAUUCUAACCCUAGGCCUAACUCAAUUAGGAGGACCUGAUCAAGCUAACCCAUAAACCCAUCACCCAUGUUUUAUGCGAAUGACAUUAGAUCUUUAAUUCAUAAUUUUAGAUCUAAUAGGUUCAACUUAAUUCUCGAUUAAGUUUGAGGCUGUGGGUAGAAAUUCGAUAUUUGAAAAUAAUUUCAAAUUUUAUAAAAUAUUUUUAUAAUUAAUUUUAUGCAUAAUUAUUUAGAUCUGAAAUUUAAAUUGGCUUACCUCUGGAUUGAGCCUACUCAUCACAAUGGGUCGACUAAGUUCCAAGACUUAGUUGUCUCAUUGAUAAUAAAUUAUUAAUCAUAAUUUUUAGCCUGUAACAAUGAGUUAGCUCAACAAAAAUUGAGCUG